AUGACCGAAAUUAACGCUGAGAAGAUGGGUAAUUUGGUGUAUCGAGCCAACGGCUUUUACCCUGCUGAGAUUUACUUUGGUUGGAUGGCCAAAAACACACCUUUGAACUUAGAGUACAGGUGCCAUGUGGAGAUCAACAAGGGAAAUGGCCCUAGCUCCAUUACCAAAAUCACUGUAUUACUUAGGAAUCCAUUGGUUGAAGAAAUCUGGAUCAAGAGAAGUGCCACUCUGGUUUGCGAAGUGCUUUCUACAGAUUCUGCUGGGGUAGUCACCUCUUGGAUGGUGGAUGGAAAGUUAAGGAAUGAAGGCGUUCAACUGGAAGCAGCUAAAAUUGAUGGAAACCAAUAUCUGACCAUCAGCCGCUUGACCAGUAGCGUGGAGGAGUGGCAGAGUGGGAUAGAAUACACAUGCUCUGCAAAACGGGAUCAAACAUCGACCCCAGUAUCAAAACGAACAAGAAAGACAAAAGUCGAACCAACUAAGCCACAUCUCCGCCUCCUGCCCCCAUCACCAGAAGAGAUUCGAAACACCAGCUCUGCUACUCUUACAUGUUUGAUAAAAGGAUUCUAUUCUAACAAAAUAAGCAUUUCCUGGGAGAAAGACGGAGCUUCUGUGACUGCGAACAUCACUAACUUCCCCACUGCUCUGGAAUAUGACCUGACCUUCAGUGCACAGAACCUCCUCAUUUUACCUAUACUGGAAUGGAAGAGCGGAGCAAAAUACACCUGUACUGCCUCACACCCACCUUCACAAUCCACUGUGAAGAGAGUCAUAAGGAACUUAAUAGACGAUUGCAGUCGUCCAGACAUCUCUGUCAAUCUACUGAAACCUCCGUUUGAAGAGAUCUGGACACAAAAUACAGCGACUAUUGUUUUCAAAAUCGUUUAUAGUGACUUAGAAAAUAUCAAAGUUUUCUGGCAAGCGAACGGGACUGGGAGAACAGAAAGAGUCGAGACGCAGAAUCCUGAGUGGAGUGGAAGUAAAUCCACCAUUGUGAGCAAACUUAAAGUCAAGGCUUCGAAGUGGGACAGUGGUGCCGAAUACACCUGCUUGGUAGAAGACAGUGAAUUGCCAACACCAAUGAAAGCCUCUAUCAGGAAGGUAAAUGUCAGUGAAUUCCAUCAUCCUAAGAUUUAUGUCCUACAUCCAUCGACAGAUGAGAUUGACACUGAGAAUUCAACUACACUGGUGGGUCUAGCCAUCGAAUUUUACCCCGCUGAGAUUUACAUUGGUUGGAUGGCCAAUGACAUCCUUUUGGAUUCCGGGUACCUGACCCAACUGGAGAGCGAGAAGGGGAAUGGUUCCAGCUUCAUCGUCAGCAGAUUGAGACUCACAGCGGCAGAAUGGAACAGUGACACCACUGACUCCUGCUUACUGGGGCACCCAUCACUCAGCCGGGAUUUAAUCAGACGUACAAAUAAAUCUCACGAAACCCCUGAAAUAAUUGAACAUCCAGGAGACAAUGACGUUGAAGAAUACGAACUAGAAAAAGUUGGUGAAGGUGCCAACAGCUCAUUAUCCGUAAUGGCUUUCUUUAUCCUGUUUAUUCUCAGUAUGCUGUACAGCACAUUUGUAACUGUCCUUAAAGUAAUAACACAUUUCAAUCGCAAUGUGACAUUGUGUGAGCCCAUUACAUUCACAGAUGAGGUGUCGCUAAGCGGCACAUAA
Molecule: non-coding RNA, 1668 nt
Organism: Rhincodon typus (whale shark)
Lineage: Eukaryota; Metazoa; Chordata; Chondrichthyes; Orectolobiformes; Rhincodontidae
Source: the annotation of a RefSeq genome assembly